RNAcentral lists this ribosomal RNA (1486 nucleotides) under Alcaligenes faecalis. Its description in RNAcentral is "bacterial SSU rRNA". It matches the Rfam family "Bacterial small subunit ribosomal RNA". Lineage: Bacteria; Pseudomonadati; Pseudomonadota; Betaproteobacteria; Burkholderiales; Alcaligenaceae. The record is from RNAcentral.
CUAGCGGGAUGCUUUACACAUGCAAGUCGAACGGCAGCGCGAGAGAGCUUGCUCUCUUGGCGGCGAGUGGCGGACGGGUGAGUAAUAUAUCGGAACGUGCCCAGUAGCGGGGGAUAACUACUCGAAAGAGUGGCUAAUACCGCAUACGCCCUACGGGGGAAAGGGGGGGAUCGCAAGACCUCUCACUAUUGGAGCGGCCGAUAUCGGAUUAGCUAGUUGGUGGGGUAAAGGCUCACCAAGGCAACGAUCCGUAGCUGGUUUGAGAGGACGACCAGCCACACUGGGACUGAGACACGGCCCAGACUCCUACGGGAGGCAGCAGUGGGGAAUUUUGGACAAUGGGGGAAACCCUGAUCCAGCCAUCCCGCGUGUAUGAUGAAGGCCUUCGGGUUGUAAAGUACUUUUGGCAGAGAAGAAAAGGUAUCCCCUAAUACGGGAUACUGCUGACGGUAUCUGCAGAAUAAGCACCGGCUAACUACGUGCCAGCAGCCGCGGUAAUACGUAGGGUGCAAGCGUUAAUCGGAAUUACUGGGCGUAAAGCGUGUGUAGGCGGUUCGGAAAGAAAGAUGUGAAAUCCCAGGGCUCAACCUUGGAACUGCAUUUUUAACUGCCGAGCUAGAGUAUGUCAGAGGGGGGUAGAAUUCCACGUGUAGCAGUGAAAUGCGUAGAUAUGUGGAGGAAUACCGAUGGCGAAGGCAGCCCCCUGGGAUAAUACUGACGCUCAGACACGAAAGCGUGGGGAGCAAACAGGAUUAGAUACCCUGGUAGUCCACGCCCUAAACGAUGUCAACUAGCUGUUGGGGCCGUUAGGCCUUAGUAGCGCAGCUAACGCGUGAAGUUGACCGCCUGGGGAGUACGGUCGCAAGAUUAAAACUCAAAGGAAUUGACGGGGACCCGCACAAGCGGUGGAUGAUGUGGAUUAAUUCGAUGCAACGCGAAAAACCUUACCUACCCUUGACAUGNUCUGGAAAGCCGAAGAGAUUUGGCCGUCCUCCCCAAGAGAACCGGAACACAGGUGCUGCAUGGCCGUCGUCAGCUCGUGUCGUGAGAUGUUGGGUUAAGUCCCGCAACGAGCGCAACCCUUGUCAUUAGUUGCUACGCAAGAGCACUCUAAUGAGACUGCCGGUGACAAACCGGAGGAAGGUGGGGAUGACGUCAAGUCCUCAUGGCCCUUAUGGGUAGGGCUUCACACGUCAUACAAUGGUCGGGACAGAGGGUCGCCAACCCGCGAGGGGGAGCCAAUCUCAGAAACCCGAUCGUAGUCCGGAUCGCAGUCUGCAACUCGACUGCGUGAAGUCGGAAUCGCUAGUAAUCGCGGAUCAGAAUGUCGCGGUGAAUACGUUCCCGGGUCUUGUACACACCGCCCGUCACACCAUGGGAGUGGGUUUCACCAGAAGUAGGUAGCCUAACCGUAAGGAGGGCGCUUACCACGGUGGGAUUCAUGACUGGGGUGAAGUCGUAACAAGGUAGCCGUAUCGGAAGGUGC